GACGAACGCUGGCGGCGUGCCUAAUACAUGCUAGUGGGACGCAAGGAAACACACUGUGCUUGCACACCGUGUUUUCUUGAGUCGCGAACGGGUGAGUAACGCGUAGGUAACCUGCCUAUUAGCGGGGGAUAACUAUCGGAAACGAUAGCUAAUACCGCAUAAUAUUAAUUAUUGCAUGAUAAUUGAUUGAAAGAUGCAAGCGCAUCACUAGUAGAUGGACCUGCGUUGUAUUAGCUAGUUGGUAAGGUAAGAGCUUACCAAGGCGACGAUACAUAGCCGACCUGAGAGGGUGAUCGGCCACACUGGGACUGAGACACGGCCCAGACUCCUACGGGAGGCAGCAGUAGGGAAUCUUCGGCAAUGGACGAAAGUCUGACCGAGCAACGCCGCGUGAGUGAAGAAGGUUUUCGGAUCGUAAAGCUCUGUUGUAAGUCAAGAACGUGUGUGAGAGGGAAAGUUCACACA
Molecule: ribosomal RNA, 465 nt
Filed under: Streptococcus mutans
Lineage: Bacteria; Bacillati; Bacillota; Bacilli; Lactobacillales; Streptococcaceae
Description: bacterial SSU rRNA
Rfam family: Bacterial small subunit ribosomal RNA
Source: RNAcentral